AUUCUUAAUUAUACAUUAAAGUAAAGUCCUAAUAUCACAGAAAUUGAUCAAAUUCUGUUUUUAAAAUCCAGUGAACAUAGCAUGAACAAACAUUAUGUAGUUUUGGAGGUGCUGUAUAUAAAUUAUGUCGUCGGACUGUACAA
This is a non-coding RNA of Procambarus clarkii (red swamp crayfish), 143 nucleotides long. Lineage: Eukaryota; Metazoa; Arthropoda; Malacostraca; Decapoda; Cambaridae. The record is from RefSeq and is a predicted model, not a curated record.